This 249-nucleotide unclassified non-coding RNA is filed under the name plant metagenome. RNAcentral's name for it is "partial contains small subunit ribosomal RNA, internal transcribed spacer 1, and 5.8S ribosomal RNA". The stretch from base 1 to 52 matches the Rfam family "Eukaryotic small subunit ribosomal RNA", at positions 1780 to 1831 of the family's 1831-position model. The record is from RNAcentral.
GGGUAAAAGUCGUAACAAGGUCUCCGUAGGUGAACCUGCGGAGGGAUCAUUACAGAGUUCCUGCCCUACCGGGUAGAUCUCCCACCCUAUGUUAUUAUUACUUUGUUGCUUUGGCGGGCCGUUAGGCUCCGGCCCGACUACCGGCCCCGGCUGGUAAGCGCCCGCCAGAGGACCCAAAACCCUGAAUAUUAGUGUCGUCUGAGUACUAUAUAAUAGUUAAAACUUUCAACAACGGAUCUCUUGGUUCUG